This is a long non-coding RNA of Molossus molossus (Pallas's mastiff bat), 222 nucleotides long. RefSeq lists it as uncharacterized. Lineage: Eukaryota; Metazoa; Chordata; Mammalia; Chiroptera; Molossidae. The transcript is spliced from 3 exons. The record is from RefSeq and is a predicted model, not a curated record.
GUUUGGGCAACGUCAAAUUAGAACCCCCGUGAAAGCGAAACAGAUGCGGAGACAGUGGAUUUACCUUGGGUACCUCUGAACUCCUAUUUAGCCCAGACUGUAAAGAGAAGGCUGCAGCUGGGAAUUGAAUGUUGAGCUCACUAACUUUGGGAUGUAGUUAUUGGGGUUGGCAGCUUGCCCACUUUGUAAAAUGGGACAUCGUGCCUUUGUCUUACCUUAUGG